RNAcentral lists this long non-coding RNA (2330 nucleotides) under Homo sapiens (human). RNAcentral's name for it is "non-protein coding lnc-MTERF4-3:9". The record is from RNAcentral. Lineage: Eukaryota; Metazoa; Chordata; Mammalia; Primates; Hominidae.
UAUUUUUAAUCCAAAAGUAUAUUGCUUCAUAAUGGUAUUCAGUGCACAGCAGAGUAAAAGAAGUUAAUUCAUGAUGUACUGGUUAAUUUUGCAUGGCUUCUUAAGGCCAGCAAAAUGCUGGCAGUUUUCUUUAUCUUUGUGAAGAACAGGCCCUUCCUGUUUGGGGAAGUUGGCUUUUAUGUCAGCUCUUGGCCAGUGGUCACUUCCAAGCCUGGUGUCUCCGGCCCUGUAGUCUGUAGUGCCAGACUGUGCUGGCCUGGAGAGUGCUGGGGCAGGUGGAGGCCAGGGAAUGGUCCCAUACAGUUAUCUCCCCUGCCCUGGUUACAGACAGCUUCGAGAACCAGAGGAGAAGAGCAUAGGGUCAUGGAGCAGGUGGGCUGAAGCCAGGGCCACAGGGAGCAAUCCGUGACCCCCCAAGGUGGGUGUGGGGGGGGGGGGGGGCGUGUCACCUUAGGGAACUCAAUGAGUCCGAAGAACAAUUUGAAAUGUUGGGAAAAGAGAAGAGGAAUUUGAUGUCAGCCGGGGUGAUCCCUGAGAUAGAGGCCUGUCUCUGAUGGCAUGAGCUCUAAGAGGGUCCUGGAGGAUUGGUACAUCCUAGAACAUUCCAGUUAGCCCUCUUUUAGGGGAAACUGGCAUAGGAUUGAUGCAGAAGGCAUUUUUGAUGAUGGGACCAAAAUUCAAGUCUCCUUGGUAGCAUUCUAGGAUCAACUAGAUCCUAGGAUCUGGUAGAUUGUAGGAUUCUAGUGGGUAGAGGCCAGGGGUGCUGUGAAACAUCCUGCAGUGCACAGGAUGGUCCCACAAGAGAGGAUGAUCCGGCCCAGAAUGUCAGUGCUGAGCCUGAGAAACUCAUCUAAGGCCUGGUCCACAACAGUAAUGUGACUGUUCACUCGUGACAACUUCAGAUGGUAAAUGGACUUAGGAUCGUAUUAUUUUAUUUAAAAGAAAAAUAAGGAGCUGGUUUUUCAGCCGGGUUCCUUUCCCCUAUGCACUGGAAUACCCCUGGUAGGUGUGAGCUGCAUGCAAUUGUGGGGAUUCAGCACUGAAAUCUAGGUGCUUUUGUUUUCUCCAGCAGCCUCGUCUUACAGCGUGACUGCAAAGAAAAAGACUUUUGUUUUGCAAAAGAAAAGCAGCUCGGUGACUCCGUCCACAUCGCCACAGUUGAGUCAGAUGGCAGUGGCAGUCCUUUGCCAGUGGAAGGAGUUCCUGCUAAGGGGAGGUGCAGGAGGACUAAUUUAUUAUUGUGCAACUGCCAGUCCUGCGCAUUCCAGCUACGCUAAGCGCCCUGCCCAGGCACGUAACAAAACAUAGACCUGUUUUGAAGUGGCUUGUUACCCAAGGGUGCCUCACUCAUCUGCGCCACCAGGAAGAUGAACUGUGAGGGCUCCUAUAAGGGGCAGGAAGAGCAAAGCUGUCCUAGGCCAACCAGAGAUUCAUCUUUCAUGCAGUGACAUGUUGAUAAAAAAUGAUGGAAGUACCACCAAGAACAGGGAAGGACAAGCCAGAGGCUGGAGGAAGAUACCUGCAGAACACAGACCUGACAAAGGAUCAGUGCCCAGGAGAUGCAAACCCAGAUCCCAGGGGUGUGCAUCCCACCCGUUCUGCCUGUAGGAUCUGCAAACCCGGCAAAACCUAGUUCUAGAGAGACUGGAUUCACUGCAUGUCUUCAUCACUGCUGGAGGGAGCGCAGACUGCUAUCGCCUCUUAGAAAAUGACUUAGUUCUCAUGUAAUUUGGGCAUUCACACAUCCUCAUCCUAGAUCCAGCUUUUCCACUCCCGCACACGUACUGGAAAACCUGUACAGGAACAUCCACUGCAGCACUGCUCAUACCAAACACAACCUACAUGUUCUCUGCACAGAGAGGGGAGAAGAGCCGGUCAGUUCACUCAGUGGACUCUGUGCUCAAUAGUAGGUGUGAAUAAGCCGCAGCCGCCCAGACCGCAUGGGCCAACCUCAGUCCGAGAAUGCGGAGUGAAAACACAGGUCUAACGAUCACACAUGGCAAGAUAAUUAUCUUGCAAAGAAAACUCACUUAUUGUUCUGCCAUACAUAUAUGUACCAUAGAAUCACUCCCCGCACCUUCCACUCUGAAAAAACAAAGGAAUUCUAGGCACAAAGUUCAGGAUCAUGGUUAACUGAGGGGAGAGAACAGGGAGUAUGAUGGCAAGAUAGAAGGUAUCGUUCACAUCCAAGUUUAUAGGUUGGGUUCUUGAUUUAGUCAUUAUUCAAAGGCUAAUAACUAAAUAAAAGGUAGCUAGCGUGAGAGUGCAACAUGAACCAAAGAUCAUGACUGGCUUUGCGCAUCGAGGGGCCAUUAAAGAGUCUACUUUUC